AGGGCGUACGGUGGAUGCCUUGGCGAUAUCAGCCGAAGAAGGACGCGGUAAGCUGCGAUAAGCUACGGAGAGGUGCAAGCAACCUUUGACCCGUAGAUUUCCGAAUGGGGGAACCCGGCAGUGGUUAUGCACUGUCACCCAUACCUUUGAGUAUGAGGAGGGCACCUGGGGAACUGAAACAUCUAAUUACCCAGAGGAAAAGUAAUCAAACGAGAUUUUCUUAGUAGCGGCGAGCGAACGGGAAAGAGGCCAAACCGGAGCGGGCAACCGCACCGGGGUUGAGGACAGUCAUCAAGUGUAAAUGAGGUAGAAGAAUCGAGCUGGAAAGCUCAGCCGCAGAAGGUGAAAGCCCUGUAAUCGAAACCUUGCAUACACGGGACUGUAUCCAGAGUACCACGAGACACGUGAAACCUUGUGGGAAGCAGGGGGGACCACCCUCCAAGCCAAAAUACUGAUAUCGACCGAUAGCGCAUAGUACCGUGAGGGAAAGGUGAAAAGAACCCCUGGCGGGGAGUGAAAGAGAACCUGAAACCGUAUGUCUACAAACAGUCGAAGUCUGUAUAUAUAUCAGGACGACGGCGUGCCUAUUGAAGAAUGAACCGACGAGUUACUGUUGCUAGCGAGGUUAAGUGGAAAACAUGGAGCCGCAGCGAAAGCGAGUCUGAACAGGGCGUUCAGUUAGUAAUAGUAGACCCGAAACCGUAGUGAUCUAUCCAUGGCCAGGUUGAAGCACAGGUAAAAUUGUGUGGAGGACCGAACUCGUGAGCGUUGAAAAGCUUUGGGAUGAGUUGUGGAUAGGGGUGAAAUGCCAAUCGAACACGGAGAUAGCUGGUUCUCCCCGAAAUAGCUUUAGGGCUAGCCUCGAGGUUGAGAGUAUAGGCGGUAGAGCACUGAUCGGGCUAGGGGCCAUACCGGUUACCGAACCUAGUCAAACUACGAAUGGCUAUACUUAUACUCGGGAGUCAGACAGUGAAUGAUAAGGUCCAUUGUCAAGAGGGAAACAGCCCAGAACACCGACUAAGGUCCCAAAUGUUACACUAAGUGGCGAAGGAUGUGGAAUUUCCAAAACAACCAGGAUGUUGGCUUAGAAGCAGCCACCAUUUAAAGAGUGCGUAAUAGCUCACUGGUCGAGAGACUCUGCGCCGAAAAUGUCCGGGGCUAAAGUGUAAAACCGAAGUCGUGUCAUAUGCAGCAAUGUAUAUGGGUAGGGGAGCGUUCUCAUUGGGUUGAAGCAGUACCGUAAGGAGUUGUGGACUGAUGAGAAGUGAGAAUGUCGGUAUGAGUAGCGAAAAGAAUGGUGAGAAUCCAUUCCACCGAAAGCCUAAGGGUUCCUGAGCAACGAUCGUCGUCUCAGGGUAAGUCGGGACCUAAGCCGAGGCGGAAAAGCGUAGGCGAUGGACAACAGGUUGAAAUUCCUGUACCGGUGUGAAUCGUUUGAUCGAUGGAGUGACACAGUAAGGUAGGUCAGCACGCGAUUGGAAGUGCGUGUUUAAGCAUGUAGGUUGAGUUAUAGGCAAAUCCGUAACUCUAAAAGCUGAGAUGUGAUGACGAGUUACUAGCGAUAGUAACGAAGUGAUUGAUCCUACACUGUCGAGAAAAGCUUCUAGGUAGAGACACAUCGCCCGUACCAAAACCGACACAGGUAGGCGGGGAGAGAAUCCUAAGGUGCGCGGGAAAACCCUCGUUAAGGAACUCGGCAAAAUGCCUCCGUAACUUCGGGAAAAGGAGGACUCAUGUAGUGUGAAGUGCAGCAACGCAUGGAGCAUGAAUGAGUGGCACAAGAGAGGCGCAAGCGACUGUUUACCACAAACACAGGUGCCUGCUAAAGCGAAAGCUGAUGUAUAGGUGCUGACACCUGCCCGGUGCUGGAAGGUUAAGAGGAGGGGUUAGACUUCGGUCGAAGCUCUGAAUUGAAGCCCCAGUAAACGGCGGCCGUAACUAUAACGGUCCUAAGGUAGCGAAAUUCCUUGUCGGGUAAGUUCCGACCCGCACGAAAGGUGUAACGACUUGCGCACUGUCUCAACGAGGGACCCGGUGAAAUUGAAGUACCUGUGAAGAUGCAGGUUACCCGCGACUGGACAGAAAGACCCCAUGGAGCUUUACUGCAACCUAAGAUUGAACUUAGUUAAUGAAUGUACAGGAUAGGUGGGAGACGUAGAACCUAGGACGCCAGUUUUAGGGGAGUCGCUGAUGGGCA
RNAcentral lists this ribosomal RNA (2197 nucleotides) under metagenome. RNAcentral's name for it is "bacterial LSU rRNA". It matches the Rfam family "Bacterial large subunit ribosomal RNA", at positions 14 to 2198 of the family's 2925-position model. The record is from RNAcentral.